This 501-nucleotide ribosomal RNA is filed under the name uncultured bacterium. Its description in RNAcentral is "partial 16S ribosomal RNA". It matches the Rfam family "Bacterial small subunit ribosomal RNA", at positions 355 to 844 of the family's 1533-position model. The record is from RNAcentral.
UGGGGAAUUUUGGACAAUGGGGGCAACCCUGAUCCAGCAAUGCCGCGUGUGUGAAGAAGGCCUUCGGGUUGUAAAGCACUUUUGUCCGGAAAGAAAUCGCCCUGGCUAAUAUCCGGGGUGGAUGACGGUACUGGAAGAAUAAGCACCGGCUAACUACGUGCCAGCAGCCGCGGUAAUACGUAGGGUGCGAGCGUUAAUCGGAAUUACUGGGCGUAAAGCGUGCGCAGGCGGUUGUGCAAGACAGAUGUGAAAUCCCCCGGGGCUUAACCUGGGAAUGGCAUUUGUGACUGCACGGCUAGGAGUGUGUCAGGGUAGGGGGUAUGAUCCCACGUGUAGCAGUGAAAUGCGUAGAUAUGUGGAGGAACACCGAUGGCGAAGGCAGCCCCCUGGGAUAACACUGACGCUCAUGCACGAAAGCGUGGGGAGCAAACAGGAUUAGAUACCCUGGUAGUCCACGCCCUAAACGAUGUCAACUAGUUGUCGGGUCUUAAUUGACUUGGU